GAGAAAGUCCUUUGCCGGGAGAGGGGGUGGAUAUAAAGAUAAAAUAGAUCAUUCAAAGGGGAAAAGGGCUAAUCCAUACAGUGAGGUUUCUGAGAAGGCAGCAGGGGUGGGGGCCGGGAGGCCCAGAGUGCAGGUGGAGAGUGACCCUGGUGUGGAGUUAGCCGCUUCUCCCCAGAGGAAGGCGAGGAUGCAGAGGGUGAAAGCGGACUUGCAGACACGGUAGGAGAAAGACAGGCGCAGCCAUCUGGUAGCUUCUAUUUUCUCUGUGAAGUGGGAUGUUCAGUCAUCAGCUGAGAGGGAGGAGGAGGAACGGGCAGCUGAGAGCCAGGAGAGGGACAGCGCGAUGGGUCCUCUGGAGAGUGAGAGGGCGAGGGGGGCCACAGACACAGCGAGUGGGGAGCAUCACACCCCCUGAGCAAGGCAGGACCUGCGCGCUGGGGUGUGGCUCUCCUGGAGCAGAGAGAAAAAUAUGACCAACGUGAUGCAGUGUGACUCUCAGGAUUAUGCAGUUAUAUAAGACUUGGUCUGUUUGAAAGAUUUGAAGAAGCAAGCUACCAUGAGGUCUACAUCUUUCCACAACCUUGGUGUUGGAACCUAAUCCUCAACGUGGUGGUAGGUUUACCAUCUGAAGCAGAGAACAGCCCUCACCAGAUACUGAACCAGCUGGUGCCUUAACCUUGGACUUCCAGCCUCCAGAACUGUGAGAUGGCUUAAGCUUUCAACCUGAGGAUGAAUCUUUAAUGACAGUACUUCAGACACUUGGGACAGAACCCUAGAGGAUGGCGAUGAGCAGUCGGUCUUCACUAUGCACUUUGGACCCUGCACUGAGCCCCACGGCCUACUCUUCCUGGGCUAAGCAUUGUGCUGGAGCGGACAGGACCAUCAGCCUGAAACACUGAACACACCCAGUCACUGGACAGAAAUGAGAGGCAGCACACACUUCCGACCCAACUGCUCAGAGGCGAAGUGAUAUUUCACGCCUGAAAUAUUCAUCUCAUAAAACUCUUAAAAUAUGCUAAUUAAUGGUAAACUGGGCAGAUACUUUUCUGUUAAAGAACAGAUUACAGCACUAAGUGACCCAGGGAGAGAACCACAUUCUAAAAUGGAUACUCCAGACUAAGGUAACUUGAUACACUGCCCUUUUGACCAGAAUUUGCUGGGAAAGAAAUAAACCAUAUCAUCAUAUAGUUUGUGGUAUGUGAAGGUGAAGUGCAUUAGUUUCAACAAAACACUGAGGCACAGGCUCUCAAAAUGAAUUUUUGUAUUGCUUCCUAGAGUGAAAAGUUGUCGGAUACAUGUAGUUUGUACACUAAAAUAUUGAAAUUUCUGGGGCAUUUUGCUGUAUUACAGAGACAAGUAAAAUAUUAAAAACUGGAAUGGUUUCAGAAACACCAGAACAUAUGGUACCCAUCCUAGCAAAAUUCAUUGCCAACGCAGAAACCAAAAAUAAUUGGAAUUUUUGGUGAGGUGAAUUUGGAGACACUGCCAGAAAAUGGACUCUUCCCAUCUCUAUCCCUUCUGCUUGCAGUCUCUGGCCAAAUGCUGUCCAUGGAUGAAAAACAAGGUUUCCCAGGAGGUUGCUAAAGUAGAUGGCAUCAUGCAGUAGGACAGCCUUGCCCUGCUGAGGAGAAAUGACAAGGCACAUAUGGUGCUCAUUCCUGCAAAUGUCAACUCCUUAUUUCAAAACCAAAAAAUGAAAUAAAAUGCAUUUCAAACAUUUAUGCACAGAUCAAUCGAGAAUGUUGUUCCAAGGAUGUGAGUAGGAUGCCAUGAAGCGGUUGUCAGAGUGUCCUGCAUAUCCCCUUGAUAUCUGGACUUCUUCUAGCUGGUGGUGCAGCCAGGGAACUGACUCACGAUCACUGCAGGGCAGCAUGCCUUUCAGCUCACGCCAGGAAGACUCUGCAGAUUGACUAACUUUCUUCCAAGGGGCUGUUAAACUUUAGAUCCUUCGUGACUCACAGAGUGAAGCCUCACAAUAACCAAAGUUUAGACAACGAAAUAUCCUCAAGAGCACUUAUGAUUUUUACAAAAUAUGCAGCCUCUUUGCCUUUACCUUUAAGUGGCCAUUGGCUGUAUUAGUCAAGACAGACUAGGUUAUGCUGCAGAACAAACAGGACCUGGAAUCCUUCAACAAAGGUAUAAUUUUUGUUCAUGAUAUUUCUCCAGCACAGGUGAGCAGGUAUUGGGGGUAGUCUGCUCCACAUAGACACUCAGGAACCCAGGCUAAAUGAGGCUUUGUUGUCUGUAAUGUGGCCAGUGGCCUAGGCAACAGAAGAGCCUGCACAGACAGCUCACAUCUAUAGUUCAGACCAACAGGGCCACAUAUUACUUCUUGUAGUCCAUUGGCCAGGACUACUCAAAUGACCCCAUUUAAUGGCAGGGAGGUUUGACAUGUAGUCUUUCAUGUGCAUGGUGGAGAGAAGCACUAGUAAUAUCUGUUAGAUUUUAGUAUUUCAUCCACUUACUUGAGCCUGUACUAAAUUCUAGACCUUGUGGUGGAUAUAGAUGCAUAUAAAGUACAUUAAUUGCCCUCAAAAUCUGAAGACACCAUAUCUCAGGAUGGAAAAGGUGAGGUUUGAGACUUUGACCACCCAUACUCAAGCAAUAACAUCAUUUGGAAUAUCUGUCUCCUAAAAGAUGGAGAAUGAUUGCCCAGAGGAAUGAUUGCCCGGAGGAAGAAAGACUGGACAGUUCCUGACAUGCAAAGCCAGGAAUUUCAUAUGACCCCUACCAUCAAAGGGCUCAGCAAGCACUCUCUUACUAUACCUGCCAGAGCCCAACUACUGUGCCCUGGCAAUCAAAGCGGGGUGGGUGAUGCAGUGUUCAGAGAAGGAUGAGAAGAAGAGGACUAUGUGAAAAGCAAGAAUAUUCUGAUUGAUGACAUAUUUUAGGCUCUGAGGUAGGACUGGAUCUGCUGUCCGUCAGGCCUCAGAGCCCAAGCUAAGCCAUCAUAUUUCCUGUGACCUGCACAUAUACAUCCAGAUGACCUGAAGUAACUGAAGAAUCACAAAAGGAGUGAAAAUGGCCUGUUCCUGCCUUAACUGAUGACAUUACCUUGUGAAAUUCCUUCUCCUGGCUCAUCCUGGCUCAAAAGCUCCCCCACUGAGCUUGUGACCCCCGCCCCUGCCAGCCAGAGAACAACCCCCUUUGACUGUAAUUUUCCUUUACCUAUCCAAAUCCAAUAAAACGGCCCCACCCCUAUCUCCCUUUGCUGACUCUCUUUUUGGACUCAGCCCGCCUGCACCCAGGUGAAAUAAACAGCCUUGUUGCUCACACAAA
Molecule: long non-coding RNA, 3279 nt
Organism: Pongo pygmaeus (Bornean orangutan)
Lineage: Eukaryota; Metazoa; Chordata; Mammalia; Primates; Hominidae
Exons: 4
Source: RefSeq, a predicted model, not a curated record